CCUGCUCUUAUAUUCAAAUCUUUUUGCUAUGAAUGCUAACAUACCAUUCGCCUUCUUCACUGCCUGCUGCAUCUGCAUGCCUACUUUUAAUGACUGGUGUACCAUAACACCCAGGUCUCGUUGCAUCUCCUCCUUUCCUAAUCGGCCACGGCCCAUGGCUGAUCAUCCAACUCAGUAUCCUGUACCUGCCUUCUCUCCAUACCCCCUGAUCCCUUUAGCCACAAGGGCCACAUCUAACUCCCCCUUAAAUAUAGCCAAUGAACUGGCCUCAACUACCUUCUGUGGCAGAGAAUUCCACAGAUUCACCACUUUCUGUGUGAAGAAUGUUUUUCUCAUCUCAGUCCUAAAAGACUUCCCUCUUAUCCUUUCAUGCCUUCAGUCCUGAACCCUAAUUUAAACUUACGUGUCUCCUGAAUUUGUUCGUGCAGCAAGUCAUAAAUUUGAUGUAUCAAAUUAAACAUUUCCCAGAAAAUUUGAUUUUUAUUUCACUCUUCUGAGUAAGCAUCGCACUAUAUAAGCCAGUUGCUUAAAUGGUCAUUAUAAGCCACUUGAACUCUGCUUCGCUUUUUAAAUAUAUGCCUUGUUGUCCUCGUACACAAGUACUAAAUUAAAUAGACACAAGGAACUGCAGAUGCUGGUUUACAUUUUUUUUAAAUCACACAGUAUUGGAGCAACUCAGCAGGUCAGGCAGCUCUGGAGAACAUGGUUAGGCCACAUCCAGUGAAUGAUUUGGGUCAGGACCCUUCUUCAGAUGGAAGGGUUCCAAAUUGAAAUGUCUGCCUAUCCAUGUCUUCCAGAGAUGCUGCCUGACUCGCUGAUUUACUCCAGCACUUUGUGUCAUCUAAAUUGUGUUACAAUAAACCAUAUAACAAUUACAGCACGGAAACUGGCCAUCUCGACCCUUCUAGUCCGUGCCGAACACAUAAUCUCCCCUAGUCCCAUAUACCUGCGCUCAGACCAUAACCUUCCAUUCCCUUCCCGUCCAUAUAACUAUCCAAAGAUAAAGAAACAUAGAAAAUAGGUGCAGAAGGAGGCCCUUCUAGCCAGCACCGCCAUUCAUUGCGAUCAUGGCAUUGCGAUCGUCCCCUAUCAAUAACUCGUGCCUGCCUUCUCCCCGUAUCCCUUGACUCCACUAGCCCCUAGAGCUCUAUCUUGUACCCUCUGACAGCAAUGCACAUCUUUGUAGCACACUGGGGAAGCAAUCAUUUUUAUUAUAUGUCAGCAGACAUUUUAGAUUGUAUUGUGAUUACCACUUUGCAAUCUAAAGAACAAAUUCUGAUGUCCCAGAUAACAAACCUAGAUUGGUAGGAUUAAUUCCAGGAAAUAGUUGCCAAUGUAUAUUAAAUUACUGAUUUGGAAAGCUUUGGAGCUGGUGCAGAAUGGAGGAAAUUGCAUUAAUCCUUCCUCCUCCUCCUUUUCCCCAACCCCCAAAUCCCUUCAACAUGAAUCACUUUUGUUUGGAAUUAAAUUUGAAGAUGUUCUUGUUAACCCAGAUUAAUUCACUAUUGGAAUGUGGAAGGGCAGGUUUUUUUUUCUCUGGGUGUGGAUGCAGCUGCCAGAUCCAUUAUAUAGGCACAACGAACUGCUGAUACUGGUUCACAAAAAAACCCACCUGAAAUGCUGAAUUACUCCAGCUUUUUGUGUCUGUCUUCAAAGAAAACCUUUCUCUGCGGUUAUUCACAAAUCAAUUGAGUUUAUUCUUGCCAACCUGCUGUAAAGUCUUUCUGCCCUAAAGGGCCUGUCCCACUGUACGGGGUAAUUCAAGAGUUCUCCCAAGUUUCCCCUGAUUCGAACUCGAAGAAUUACGGUAAUAGCCGCUCGUAGGUACUCGGGGGGGGGGGCUCUCGUGGACAUUUUUCACAGUGCUGAAAAAACGUAUAGUUACCGCGUUUCCCGAGUACCUGCUGUUAGCAUUACGAGCCGCUAUGAGACAUCCCCGAGCUCCGACGUACCUGCUAUGUACUUACCACGAGUUUGAUUUUUUUUAAACUCAGGAGAGCUCUUGAAUUACCUCGUACAGUGGGACAAGCCCUUAAGACUUCCCUGCAAACUGCUUCUUCCAACAAGCCACGCUGACUCGUUUGUUCUUACAUCUUUCUCCUGUGUAAAAAUGCUUGCCUCCAACAGCCGCUCCCGGAGUUUGGAUUAAGAGUGCUCUAAACUGACACUGAAUGUAUAAAACACCCUGCAGCAUGUUGAAGCUUGAGCUCCUGUUCAAGAAAAAUGCUGACAUCUUCCUUCCAACACGUUGAUUGUAAAGUUAGCAUUGUUUUCAGAGCAACAAAAAUACAAGCCGAAUAAAUGUAAUGAUAAAAUGCAGAUUGACGUGUGACUUUGAAGAAAAUGUUCUUUUGUAAAUCCUGCGCAAAUAAUAGAUUUUGGCACAAUUUUAAAGAUUUAUGAAUAAUAAAGAUUUUUUUCGUAGA
Molecule: long non-coding RNA, 2426 nt
Organism: Leucoraja erinaceus (little skate)
Lineage: Eukaryota; Metazoa; Chordata; Chondrichthyes; Rajiformes; Rajidae
Exons: 2
Source: RefSeq, a predicted model, not a curated record